GCCGGGUGUGGUGGUGUGCACCUGUAGUCCCAGCUACUCAGGAGGCUGAGGCAGAAGAAUCACUCGAACCCAGGAGGUGGAGGUUGUAGUGAGCCAAGAUUGCACCAUUGCACUCCAGCCUGGGCAACAGAGUGAGACUCUGUCUCAA
Molecule: non-coding RNA, 148 nt
Organism: Chlorocebus sabaeus (green monkey)
Lineage: Eukaryota; Metazoa; Chordata; Mammalia; Primates; Cercopithecidae
Rfam family: Metazoan signal recognition particle RNA
About the family: The signal recognition particle (SRP) is a universally conserved ribonucleoprotein. It is involved in the co-translational targeting of proteins to membranes. The eukaryotic SRP consists of a 300-nucleotide 7S RNA and six proteins: SRPs 72, 68, 54, 19, 14, and 9.
Source: Rfam